AUACGGAGGGAGCUAGCGUUGUUCGGAUUUACUGGGCGUAAAGCGCGCGUAGGCGGAUUGAUUAGUCAGAGGUGAAAUCCCAGGGCUCAACCCUGGAACUGCCUUUGAUACUGUCAGUCUAGAGACCGAGAGAGGUGAGUGGAAUUUCCAGUGUAGAGGUGAAAUUCGUAGAUAUUGGAAAGAACACCAGUGGCGAAGGCGGCUCACUGGCUCGGUACUGACGCUGAGGUGCGAAAGCGUGGGGAGCAAACAGAAUUAGAUACCCUAGUAGUCC
RNAcentral lists this ribosomal RNA (274 nucleotides) under uncultured bacterium. RNAcentral's name for it is "partial 16S ribosomal RNA". It matches the Rfam family "Bacterial small subunit ribosomal RNA", at positions 523 to 796 of the family's 1533-position model. The record is from RNAcentral.